RNAcentral lists this long non-coding RNA (1905 nucleotides) under Helianthus annuus (common sunflower). RNAcentral's name for it is "hypothetical non coding rna". Lineage: Eukaryota; Viridiplantae; Streptophyta; Magnoliopsida; Asterales; Asteraceae. The record is from RNAcentral.
UUUUCUCCCAUUUUCCACCGAUGAUUGAUUCGUCCCUGUUCCCUGGUUCACCUGGAUUCGCAGACCUUUCCUGAGUUGGUGGAGGAGUCGUUGCUAGAUGAUUGGGAUUUCCGGCAGGUGGAAUCGCAUCAGAGGAGGCGCAAUUUCUGGACUCUCCUCCUCAGCAACUACAUUUUUUGAACGAGGGUUUUGGUUUGGUUUUAACAGAUGAACUAACAAAAAGGUGCCGACAUCGGUUGAUUUAUAGAGCGAGGAUGGAUAAGAAAUUAGAGGCAGCUUCAUCUUCUUCAUCAGUUGAUUAAUUUCUCAGUUAAGAUCCACAUGGUAGAAGAGGAGUAGAAAAUGGACUGUUUGCAUAAUUGGUGGAUCCGUUGUUCUUCAAUCGCUAGAAAAUUUGGUGAAUCUGUCAUUGUUACUUACUACAAGGAGCUUCCUAACUCCAGGUAGAAGGAGAUGAUAUUAAAACAGAUGAGUAUUAUGGAAGAGCAAUACUAGCGACUCCUAGAGACGGAGACCUUUUGUCUUUGUAUGGCAAACUAAUUUGGGACGUACAGGCCAUUAGCGUCUCUCCUGGUGACUGUAGGGUUAUGGGAUCAUUAGCACAAUUUAUGUAGGAUGCAGUCCGGAUCUAAGGUGCCGGUUCCUGCCACAAAAGCGAUAUGAUAAUUGCAGCUUUUGCAGGAGAGUUUGAGUGGAAGCGUUAUUACUUAUUAGGUCAUCAACAGGAGAGUUUGAGGAGGAAUUGUGAAUCAGAACCAGAAUCAAGGAUGUUAGCUGUGAAUUAUGUGCAAAUAAAACAUCCUAAAAUACUAAAUACCACACAGUCGUAACCAUCGAGGGAUGAUAGUGGUCUGGAGCCUCAACCGUCGUCUUCGGCGUAGCCAGUGGCGAAGCUUGAAAAUUUCCACCGGUGGGUCGGAAGUCAGCGGACCUAAAAGUAUAUACCUAUUUUUUUUAAAACCGGGGGGUCGAAAACGUAUAUACCUAAAAAAUUCUAUACGGAACGUACAUACAUAACACUACUGAGCGAAAAGUUCAGGGGGUCGCCCCCUAGCACCGCGACCCUUCAUAGCUUCGCCGCCGCGUAACGGCUUCCGAUAGUAAUUCCGGUAACGACAGAAGGGAUGACAUCAGUCAUCAACUGCAAGCCAGUUUUCCGACGAAGAGGGUUAUAUGACCAAAUCGGUCGGCGAUGACUAUGACACAUCAGCAUGGAGUUAAAAAGAUGCCUGCUUUAGUUAAUUACAGAGGUUCAUUCUAUGAGGGAAUUUCUCAUUUUAGUAGGAUCUUUCCAAUUAAAUAGCUUAAUAGCCAUAUUGGUAGCGGUUGGGAUGAUUUUAGCCACAACAAUUCACGUGGCUCGGACCUAGCUUUAUGAUUAGUUCGUCAUAAGAAGAAUCUGAUCUGUUUUAGUAUACGGAUCAACCUGCAUCACCUCAGGUGAGUAGCCACUCACGUACGUAAUUGUUAUAGGGCAUUGUAUUGCCUGCCGAACGUGGUGCCGCAUCGCUACGAGACCGAAAAAGACAGUGCACCACGAUACCCAGUUCCUAUCUAGGAUGCCCGAGGAGUAUGAGUUGACGCUACUGAACGUUUGCUACUGAACAGGUUUAGUAGCAUCAAUAAUUCAAACAUGCUACACUGUUCAUUGAGUCAUUCUAGAGUGCAGGGGACCUGUAUGAGAAGUAUGUUUGAUACAUGUCGAACCAUAGUUAAAAAAAAAAACAACGAACCGAAUACGUUGAUUCCAUUUGGCCAUAUUAUAACUAUUAUCUUUGGGUUUUUUUUUCCGUUUGCCAUGGUGAGCGCAUCGUAGUGUGAUACCGAUCGAGUCUUCGUCCGAUACCCGCCGCAACGCGCGGCAAAAAUACCUAGUUAAAGAAUAAAGAUGAACUAAAAAAUACA